GAUGAACGCUGGCGGCGUGCCUAACACAUGCAAGUCGAACGGAGACGAUAGCAAUAUUGUCUUAGUGGCGGACGGGUGAGUAACGCGUGAGCAAUCUGCCCUUCGGAGGGGGACAACAGCUGGAAACGGCUGCUAAUACCGCAUAACGUAUACUGGUGGCAUCAUUGGUAUACCAAAGAUUUAUCGCCGAAGGAUGAGCUCGCGUCUGAUUAGCUAGUUGGUAGGGUAAUGGCCUACCAAGGCUGCGAUCAGUAGCCGGACUGAGAGGUUGAACGGCCACAUUGGGACUGAGAUACGGCCCAGACUCCUACGGGAGGCUG
This 320-nucleotide ribosomal RNA is filed under the name uncultured Bacillota bacterium. Its description in RNAcentral is "bacterial SSU rRNA". It matches the Rfam family "Bacterial small subunit ribosomal RNA", at positions 28 to 351 of the family's 1533-position model. Lineage: Bacteria; Bacillati; Bacillota. The record is from RNAcentral.